RNAcentral lists this ribosomal RNA (249 nucleotides) under Escherichia coli. RNAcentral's name for it is "partial 23S ribosomal RNA". It matches the Rfam family "Bacterial large subunit ribosomal RNA", at positions 2694 to 2925 of the family's 2925-position model. Lineage: Bacteria; Pseudomonadati; Pseudomonadota; Gammaproteobacteria; Enterobacterales; Enterobacteriaceae. RNAcentral also lists the same sequence under 5 other names. The record is from RNAcentral.
GGAGUGGACGCAUCACUGGUGUUCGGGUUGUCAUGCCAAUGGCACUGCCCGGUAGCUAAAUGCGGAAGAGAUAAGUGCUGAAAGCAUCUAAGCACGAAACUUGCCCCGAGAUGAGUUCUCCCUGAGACUUAGAGUCUCCUGAAGGAACGUUGAAGACGACGACGUUGAUAGGCCGGGUGUGUAAGCGCAGCGAUGCGUUGAGCUAACCGGUACUAAUGAACCGUGAGGCUUAACCUUACAACGCCGAAG